Molecule: RNA transcript, 3632 nt
Organism: Amaranthus tricolor (Joseph's coat)
Lineage: Eukaryota; Viridiplantae; Streptophyta; Magnoliopsida; Caryophyllales; Amaranthaceae
Exons: 2
Source: RefSeq, a predicted model, not a curated record
UUCACCCUAACAUCGGAGGAUUUGGGUUUUUAAGUGAGACUACACAUAGCUCACAUCCCACAAAACUCACCGUUCCCUCUCCUCUCUUCGCUCCUCAUUGUUUUGUACCUCUACAAACAACCAACACCGGUCUCCUCUCCCUCCCACGAGCAGCAGGUGGCAGCCAUACACCAGCCCCGGUUUUCGUGACCUCCAGCAGGUAGCAGUCGUACAACUGCUUUCUGACCUUCCUCCACCACCUUGUGCAACCACCACCACCACAAUCACUUUAUCUCUCCACCCUUUUUUAGUUUUACCUCUGUGCCCAUUUUAUAAGAGGAAGGUAAAACUUUAGUUGGGGGGUUUUUGUGACUUUUUGAUCGUGCAGUGAUGCUGACAGGUACGUGCACGCAGUAACUAAUCCUUAUAUGCAAUUUGCUUAAAGACAUUAUUGUUUAUUGUGAUAAUAUGCAUUGUAUCAAAAGUAUGAGGUAUUAGUGAAUACACUUUGUAUGAAGAGUUAUCGACUAUGAAAUCUUUGCGCUUGGAAUAGUUUAAAGAAUGAGAGUGUUAGUAGAAGGCACAGACCACCCCCUUAUUUAUUUGAGAAUUGGAUUAUGCCUUACUUGGAGUUAGAAUGACUCCUUUAUAGGUGAAUUUCAUAUUUUGUUUUCGUUGCUCAGUGGGUUUCGGCGUUCUGCUGUCCCAGGGCACUCAUUAAUAGUCGAAAGCGGGAGCUAUUCCCAUUUGAUAAAGUAUUAGAUUAUGAUAAGCUGGCGUGAGUCAAUUGAAUUAUGUCCGGUUGAUAUAAUAGUCCCCUAGGUGAGAUCUUACGUGAUCAUUGUAUGGGGGGUAUGAGCAUACUUUUGUCAUUGGGUCGAUACCGCCCUUUGACUGAAGUGUUACCAUGCGGGCCUUGCCAACCCCAAUAUGGUGGCCUCAUCACUGGAUUAGUACCCCAGUGUGUUAGUUUUCCCAAAGGUAGGACUUGAGAGGGCCAGCUGAAGGGUAUGAGCUCACACUUUGCCAUGGGCACCGGGUGGUUGAUAACGCCCUUAGCCGUGUCACUAUGCUAUGAAGUGGAGAAAAGAUCUACAGAUAGAAUGUUACUCAUUGAUAGAAAGUUUAUUCAUUCAUAAAAAGCUUACACACUGAUAGAACGUUUGCUCAUUGAUAGGAAAUUUAUUGAAUGAUAGAGUAGUUUAUGCUAGUGAGAAGUGGGCCUAAGUUAAGUUACCUCAAGGAAGUUAUCAGUCCCAAAGAUAGACUAUGAUUACACUUACUUUAAGAUAGACAAGCUCUAUAAGGUCAUGUGUUAGGUAGUCUGUUAAUGCCUUGUUUGAGUUGAUACUACGCGUGUUUUGCAAGAGUUUAUGUUUUGAGAAGAGGAGUGUGAAGACCUGCAUUCUACCCAAGAACACAUGGUUCGAGUUGGAAAGGACAUAAUGAGAUUAAGAAGUAUAAGUGAACGAUAAACGAUUACUAUCUGUGCUUGUAUCUUAUGAAAUCAUCUUAUGUUCGUUGUAUAACAUAAUGUUAUCUAGUAGUUGGUCGUAUUAUAUUUGAUGCUAGUUACUGACGUGUACGUGUUUGUGUUUAUGUUUGAUUGUUGAUGACUCUCUAUGAUUGUCCUGAUAUGACACAUUGUGCUUUGGUCUGAUGUCGAGCAGCCCGAGGAUCAUAAACAGGCGUAGUAGGUAUUGAAACUUUUUUUGCAUUGCAUUGGGGGCGAGUGAUGAGGGCGAAGCAUAACCUAUGUCAUACCGUUAUCUUUUGAUUUUGUAGCUCUUGUUUAUCUUUUGUACACUUUGGUUGUAUACGUUUUGUUAUGAAGCCUUGUAUCCUCCUUUGUUUAUUUGUAUUUUCGUUGCAUAGAAUUUUGUAUGGUAUUAAGGAGUUGAGUCAUUUUAAAACGCAAGUGUCGACACUGGAACCACGAUUGAUGCUUAGCAUGUUGAUUUGAGAAGCCGACGAUGAAUCAUUCCGCCGUGGUGUGAGAUUUUAAAGGCAAUGAUGCCUUAGAUUAGUUUAAUGUUUUUAUUGUGCUAAUUGCUCUACCACAUGUUCGAUGUUUAGUAGAGAUGUUGACGAAUUUUUCACUCACCUUUUAAAGCUAAUCUUUAACGUAUACAUAUAAUUUUUUUUUCCUUUCUUCUCUUUUUAUGUAACACCCGAAUUUCCUCCUGUUAUUUACGAUUUUGGUUUCGUAUAAGGGGUUGGAAUUCAGAGGUAUUACAGCCAAACUAGUACAAACCUGAUACUCCAAACAACUUAUCUUCAACUGAAUCGUAACUAUGCAACUCAACUCCAGUAUGACCUUGUCGCAACCUAUAUCCAAAAAGAAACCAAUUCGAAUGUAACCAAAUCGACACCUGGUUGAAAAUUCGAUAACUUAAAUAAACACCACACAAAAUAUUUUCAUACUUUUUCAUUAAAGGUGUUCAUAAACGAAUAGCAAACCAGGCUUGCCUCAAAAACCUACCAAUGGGACUAAAUUUUCAAAAAGCCACUCGCUUUAGCCCACUUACUUUAUUUGCUACUAGCCCGCUCUUGUUCUUAAUGGGCAGGACCUCCAUGAUUGAGUUUUUGAUUUUAGAAUAAGUAAAUUACUAUUUUUUUAUGUUCAUAUAGUUAGUUUAUAGCUUAAAGACAAAAAAUGACAUUGAUCAAGUUAAAAACCAACACAAAAUUACCCCUGUCAAUUUAGCAAUAUCGAAUUGAAAUAUUUUUUAUUAAGAUUUUUCUUAUCAGAACUUAUAAUAAUAAUAAUCACUAGCCACCUAUAUAUAAUUCAUAAAUAAAUCUGUAAAUUGGUCAGAAUUAUAUUGAAUUAAAAGAAAUAUACAUAAAUUUACCGUAAAUUAAGCAAAUCAAAAUUGAAUUAUAUGAAAACAUCUUUAAUUUGGGUUGUUCUUGUUCCCUAUAUUUGUCUAAAGUUAAAGUAAAAAAUACAAAAAAGUUACCCCUUUAUCUUAGGAGUCUAUUCCCACAAUAUUGCAAAAUAAAAAAAUAAUUCCCACUUUCCUUAAAAUGGAAAAGUAAUUCUCACUUUACCGUCCACGUAGGAUUAUUUUGAAAUUUUUUUUUUUUUAAUUUUUAAUAUAACCGCUACUUGAGGUAGCGGUUUUGUUUAGGGAAUUGAAGAAAAUCGCCAGAUGAAAUGGCGGUUUGGUAAUUUUUUUAUUUUUUUAAAAAAAAAAAAAAUUUUGGGUAAACCGCCACUUGAAGUGGCGGUUUUAUACCUGUACAAAAUGGCAGUAUCUGUUCUUUUUCUUCACUCAUUUCAUUUGCUUCCUUCCCUUCGCUGCUGCCGGUUAUCUAAAAAAAAAAAAUUCUUCAAUUCUCAUUUACUUCAUAUUCACAAUUCCUCUCAUUUAACUAAAUUAAUCAACUACAUUCUCAUCUUCUCCUUCUUUACUUGUUCAUAUUCAUCAUCAUUUAAGGUAAUAACAUAACCCUAAUUCAUUUCAAUUUGCAAAUUGAAUAUUUUGUUCAUUAUUGUUUUCAAUUGAAGUUAUAAAUACAUUGAUUGUUUAAUAAAUUCUCUUGUUUUCAUGAUAUAAGCUUACAUUUUACACAUUUGUAGUUGAAUUUUAGGAUUUGGUUUGUAUGCAUAUAAAGUGUUUGAUGAUAUGCUUCAAUGAAAGUUUAUU